UCUGCGCCUUGGAGAAAAGCACCCGCCGCUUCCGCUUCUUGCCGGCGUCCCCCCCGCCGCCCGGGGUCUCCUUGUCAUUGUCCGGUGACUCGUCGGCCGAGGGCUCCGGGGACUUGGAGCUUGAGUCCUGAGGGGGCGCGCCUGCCGCCAGACCGUGCACUGGGGGGAGGGGGAGAGAGAAGCGCGUCAGGCGUCUGGAGGCCGCGCGCAGCCUGCACCAGACUCGGAGCACCCUGAAUCCUUCGUGCGACCCUGGACCUCCGCGCCUGGCAGCCCAGCCCCGCUGCCUUUGCCGUGACCCCUGCCUUGCUCUACGCCUCACGAGGACGUCGAGGCCUCCCAGGCGUCCAGCCCAGGCUGCGGCCGCAGGAAUGGAGGGGACCACGGCCUCGGCAGCCAAGUUUUGCUACUUACGGGAGUACUGGAGGCCCUCGGUGCUGGCCAGCCAGCGCGUGUACGGGUUGUCGCUGCUGUCGUAGAAGGGGUUCUUCAGGGGCAGGCUCUGCACCGCGUCCAGGGCGCCCUGCCCCAGCGGCCCGGCCCUCUUGGCUGGCUCGGGCCCCUCGUUCUCUUCCUCCGGCCCUUCGGCCACAGAGCCCUCCUCAUCGUUGGUGUCCGGCAGGUCUAAGAUGUCCUUGACCGAAAACCCCGUCUUUGUGUUGGUCAGCGACAUGGUUCCAGACCCCAAAAUUUAUGUCGCAAAGUUGUA
This is a non-coding RNA of Macaca mulatta (Rhesus monkey), 709 nucleotides long. Lineage: Eukaryota; Metazoa; Chordata; Mammalia; Primates; Cercopithecidae. The record is from RefSeq and is a predicted model, not a curated record.